Long non-coding RNA from Herpailurus yagouaroundi (jaguarundi), 418 nucleotides. RefSeq lists it as uncharacterized. NCBI's taxonomy places the organism in Eukaryota, Metazoa, Chordata, Mammalia, Carnivora, Felidae. The record is from RefSeq and is a predicted model, not a curated record. The transcript has 2 exons.
CACCACUCCAAUGGCACUUCCUUGUUUUAUGUUCCCAAAUCUCAUUUCCUUUCCCUGUUGUGUGGACUUGCCUGCCUCCGGGGAUUUGAAAUGCUCUCUGGAGAAGUAACCGCAGUCCUAUUUUAGUUCUGACUGACUUCUAAUCAAUCAGACCUUUCAAGCCGACUUGGCGCCGUCUCCUGAGAUGAGGGAGCCAUCGGAAUGGGCAGUGCAGGACUGCUGUCCCCACUGUGGCCCUGGGAAAUUGUGACACCACAAAUGCCACGUGUUGCGUUUACCGCUUCUGGUGGAAUGACUCCGGCUCUGAGGGGAGAAGAAUGAAAAUGUCCGAAUGUGGCAUUAAAUCGCUCAAUCCACCCACUUCUUCAGUCCGAAGCGUGUCAUCCAGCGUUCAUGUCACAAGCCCGAUCCAGUCUCU